GGGAUUCCCCCAGUAACUGCGAGUGAAGCGGGAAAAGCUCAAAUUUAAAAUCUGGCGGUCAUGCCGUCCGAGUUGUAAUCUGGAGAAGCGUUUUCCGUGUUGGACCGUGUACAAGUCUCUUGGAACAGAGCGUCAUAGAGGGUGAGAAUCCCGUCUUUGACACGGACUACCAAUGCUUUGUGAUACGCUCUCAAAGAGUCGAGUUGUUUGGGAAUGCAGCUCAAAAUGGGUGGUAAAUGCCAUCUAAAGCUAAAUAUUGGCGAGAGACCGAUAGCGAACAAGUACCGUGAGGGAAAGAUGAAAAGCACUUUGGAAAGAGAGUUAAACAGUACGUGAAAUUGUUGAAAGGGAAACGCUUGAAGUCAGUCGCGUUGUCUGGGACUCAGCCUUGCUUCUGCAUGGUGUAUUUCCUGGUUAACGGGCCAACAUCGAUUUUGGUCGGUGGAUAAAGUCAAGAGGAAUGUGGCACCUUCGGGUGUGUUAUAGCCUCUUGUCGGAUGCAUCGACUGGGAUCGAGGAUCGCAGCACGCCUUUUUGGCCGGGGUUCGCCCACGUAACGUGCUUAGGAUGUUGGCAUAAUGGCUUUAAUCGACCCGUCUUGAAACACGGACCAAGGAGUCUAACAUGCCCGCGAGUGUUAGGGUGGAAAACCCUUGCGCGUAAUGAAAGUGAAAGUUGGGACCUCUGUCAUGGGGGGCACCGACGCCCGGCCUUGAACUUCUGUGACGGCGCCGCGGUAGAGCGUGUAUGUUGGGACCCGAAAGAUGGUGAACUAUGCCUGAAUAGGGCGAAGCCAGAGGAAACUCUGGUGGAGGCUCGUAGCGAUUCUGACGUGCAAAUCGAUCGUCAAAUUUGGGUAUAGGGGCGAAAGACUA
This 875-nucleotide ribosomal RNA is filed under the name Rickenella fibula. RNAcentral describes it as "LSU rRNA". It matches the Rfam family "Eukaryotic large subunit ribosomal RNA", at positions 71 to 933 of the family's 3401-position model. Lineage: Eukaryota; Fungi; Basidiomycota; Agaricomycetes; Hymenochaetales; Rickenellaceae. The record is from RNAcentral.